Molecule: long non-coding RNA, 2809 nt
Filed under: Solanum tuberosum (potato)
Lineage: Eukaryota; Viridiplantae; Streptophyta; Magnoliopsida; Solanales; Solanaceae
Description: long non-coding RNA (STUB_LNC009671)
Source: RNAcentral
UCUAAUACUUUAGAGUACAAAAUUCGGGACUAAUCCCGUACACAACUCAAACAAUACAAAAAAAGACAUAAAAGAACAUAUUGGGUAUUGUCCUCGAAUCUAUGAGGACUCACCAAGUCUUCAUCUUCAACACUUAGAAACCUAUCAAAGCCAUGACAUGUCAUCAUCUCCAAAUCCCUACACUUUAGUUAAAAAGGGAAAGAAAGGGGUUAGCACAAUUAAGUACGCCAUGCAAAAACAUGCAAAAAGGGACGUUCAUUGGAGAAACAUGCUUUUAUGCCAAUUGGUAAACUUCAUGAAAAAAAUACAAGUAAGCUUUUUUAUCAUUUCUUGACCUCUAUCUCAAGUUACCCAAAGCCACACUUAAGUGAAACAUGAAGUGACCGCCCAUACAAUCUCUUCAUAUACACCUAAGUAUUCCUAAGGGUUACCAUAGAUAAGGAAAUUUACCAUUACAAUAUAACAUACUAAGUCAAUGUUCACAUAUAAAACCAUAGCCAACCGUAUACAUACUCAACAUAUAUUCAUAUACAACCCAUGCUUAAAUUUAAAGGAACACAUGCCAUUUCAUUACCAUAGGACCUCUACCUAAUAUAACCUUAAGACACACUUGAGUGAGACAAGAAGUGACCGCCCAUACAACCUCUUCAAGCACACUUAAGUGUUCCUCAAGAUUACCUUAGAUAAGGACAUUUCCUUUACAACAUAACAUCAAUAGACAAACCUUCUUUAAGAAACCAUUUUGGAGACAUUCAAGCACAUAAGGGGACUUUCACAUAAUAGUCGUUAGACUUAGGGAACUCACUUUAGUAUCUUCAAAGCCUACUCGUGCCAUGUGUAGAUAGCAUCCCAUACUACUACCUACACGUUGUAGAACCUAUCCAAUAACUAGAGUGCACAUCCCACAUGAUGGGAAUAGGCAUAACCGACAUAGACCAUACUAGCUAGGUAUGGAAUCCGGAGUCUAUCCUACUCCGUGGAGGUUGUUCUACUUGCCAAAGGUAGAACUAGUAAGCAACCCAUGUAGGCACAUGGUUUAGGGGAUGUCCAAGGAAGUUCAUUGUGCCUAAUCUCAUACUCAACUAGGCCACCUUCCUAACCACAUCCACUCGGUGCUAGCCUUGUUUCCCAUAGAGUAUUCAAUCACAUAUGUACUUAGAGAAGGUUCCUUUUCUAGUUCAACCAACUCAUAGUACCUCUUCCCAAGAAAGGCCCCAUUUCUUAGUCAUGGCCAAUCAAGGUUCAUAAGGAUAGCUCAUUAAAUCCCCCUGGAAGGGUGCCUUAGGCCUACCGAUUUUUCAUUAAGGGUGCCUUAAGCCUGCCGGUCCAAGGUUCAUCAUUUCACACAUGAGAAGGGCUACCACCAUUAGGUCUACCGAUUUCAUGGUUUUACAUUUACUUAGGAAAGCUAGACUUAUGAAAGGGCACCAUUUCUUAGUUUUGCCCAUUUCACACAUUCAUGCAUUCAAGACUUUAAGUAACAAGGAGGGACACUUUAGUCUACCAACCAAGUCACAACAUUUUCAUUUAAGGAUACUUCAUAAUCCAACAUCAUUUCAUAUAUACAUCAUGAGAAAUCAUACUUUAACUCACAAUGCUAUCCACUUUACAUAGGAUCAUCACAAGAUCACAUAAACUCAUUCACAUCAUACCUUCACAUAUAGCUUCACAUAAAACUCAUUCACAUCAUUCCUUCACAUAUAGCUUCACAUAAAACUCAUUCACAUCAUUCCUUCACAUAUAGCUUCACAUAAAACUCAUUCACAUCAUUCCUUCACAUAUAGCUUCACAUAAAACUCAUUCACAUCAUUCCUUCACAUAUAGCUUCACAUAAAACUCAUUCACAUCAUUCCUUCACAUAUAGCUUCACAUAAAACUCAUUCACAUCAUUCCUUCACAUAUAGCUUCACAUAAAACUCAUUCACAUCAUUCCUUCACAUAUAGCUUCACAUAAAACUCAUUCACAUCAUUCCUUCACAUAUAGCUUCACAUAAAACUCAUUCACAUCAUUCCUUCACAUAUAGCUUCACAUAAAACUCAUUCACAUCAUUCCUUCACAUAUAGCUUCACAUAAAACUCAUUCACAUCAUUCCUUCACAUAUAGCUUCACAUAAAACUCAUUCACAUCAUUCCUUCACAUAUAGCUUCACAUAAAACUCAUUCACAUCAUUCCUUCACAUAUAGCUUCACAUAAAACUCAUUCACAUCAUUCCUUCACAUAUAGCUUCACAUAAAACUCAUUCACAUCAUUCCUUCACAUAUAGCUUCACAUAAAACUCAUUCACAUCAUUCCUUCACAUAUAGCUUCACAUAAAACUCAUUCACAUCAUUCCUUCACAUAUAGCUUCACAUAAAACUCAUUCACAUCAUUCCUUCACAUAUAGCUUCACAUAAAACUCAUUCACAUCAUUCCUUCACAUAUAGCUUCACAUAAAACUUAUUCACAUCAUUCCUUCACAUAUAGCUUCACAUAAAACUCAUUCACAUCAUUCCUUCACAUAUAUUUCUUUCUUAAAACCAUCAAUAAUCAUUAAAAAUAACAUAAAUCAUCAUUUAGAAUCAUUUAAUGCAAGAACCCAUGCUAGAAUUGAAUUUAGGUUUGUUUUUGAGUUUUUGAACAACUUUGAAAUCUUUUGAAUUGACUCUUUGAUUGAAGAAGGAAUCAAAGAUGAAGAGUCCCCAUACCUUAAUCUUGAAGAACCAAACGAAAUUGAAGAAGAAAUCAGUAGCCACCAUCAACUUAGCUCCAUCUUUCACCUUGAGCUUCCAUGGGGUCUUGAGAGAGUUUUGAGAGAGGGAGGGUUUUGAA